AGGCGGCGGCGGAGGGAUCUGCCGCUUGAUUUAUCAUCAAAGUUUUGCCCAGGCUGGGAUUUUUAAAGCGGUACCCGCAACUUCCCCUGCCCGAGAGUGCAAAUGGGAGUGCGAGACGGGGUGGAGGAAGCCCCCCUAGGGACCUAGUUCCCGCAAAGCAUAAGACAACUGGCUUCAGAAACAGAUAUACUAUCCAGCGGGAUAAGGAGAAAAACCACUCCACCUGCCGCCAGACCCAGCGCGCUCAGAGGGCCUCCCAACUUUGCUAGCAGCGCGGUGUUGGGGUCAGGGGGUCGGAGGAGGUGGGGGUGAGGUCGGGCAGGAACCUGGGCUGAGGCACAGGGGACCUGGUGAUAGUCUUUAGUUCCCUGUGCGGACGUGUCCUUAUGUCUAACCCCGUCUGAGCCUCAAAGUUUUCAUCUGAGAAAUGGGAAAAGCAGCUACCUGCAGGGGUCCUGUUUUCCUGUCUGCAUAAUGGGAGUGAGGCUGGCCAGUUGCUCGGGCUCCUUCUAGCUUAGAGAUGCUGGGCCCUACGCGGUGGAUUGGAUCGCCCUCUUCUGGACUGUAAAUCUCCGUUCCUCGGACCGAUGGGCCUAGAUGAAAUGUUGGAGAGGCGGGCAGGCCUCUUUCCCUACACGUCCAUGUCCGCCGCGGUUUCAGCACUACGGAGGACGACAGCGUCAACUCCGACCCCCAUCUUUUUGGCCUCAAGUACCUCGCCUAGGCGGGCUUUUAGAUUCGAGGAUUCAGCACCAUGGACAGACCUUCCAGUUUCCUCUCCUGCCCCGCGGAAUGGGAGUGAACGCUGCAAACAGACCACUCCCCUCUCCACAGACUACAGGUGGAUCCAGCAUUGUAGACAGAGCCCCAAGUUUGAGAAUGAGGUUAGAACCCGAGGGACAGCUCCCCGCUUCCCAGUAUUAUGGUGGGCAGCACACUGGAUGGGGCCCCUGGUCGCCAGUAGCAAUCCGGUUCGUUCACAUCUAUGGACAGCCCCUUGAAGUCCCCAAUUACAAAUGCUAUGUUUCAACACAACUGAGCCCCAACGGGAAGCUACUUUCAGCACUGCGGACAGAUCCCCGCCGU
Molecule: long non-coding RNA, 1086 nt
Filed under: Mustela putorius furo (domestic ferret)
Lineage: Eukaryota; Metazoa; Chordata; Mammalia; Carnivora; Mustelidae
Description: lncRNA (ENSMPUG00000023972.1)
Source: RNAcentral